RNAcentral lists this ribosomal RNA (464 nucleotides) under uncultured bacterium. RNAcentral's name for it is "partial 16S ribosomal RNA". It matches the Rfam family "Bacterial small subunit ribosomal RNA", at positions 339 to 795 of the family's 1533-position model. The record is from RNAcentral.
CUACGGGAUGCAGCAGUGGGGAAUAUUGCACAAUGGGCGCAAGCCUGAUGCAGCCAUGCCGCGUGUAUGAAGAAGGCCUUCGGGUUGUAAAGUACUUUCAGCGGGGAGGAAGGGAGUAAAGUUAAUACCUUUGCUCAUUGACGUUACCCGCAGAAGAAGCACCGGCUAACUCCGUGCCAGCAGCCGCGGUAAUACGGAGGGUGCAAGCGUUAAUCGGAAUUACUGGGCGUAAAGCGCACGCAGGCGGUUUGUUAAGUCAGAUGUGAAAUCCCCGGGCUCUACCUGGGAACUGCAUCUGAUACUGGCAAGCUUGAGUCUCGUAGAGGGGGGUAGAAUUCCAGGUGUAGCGGUGAAAUGCGUAGAGAUCUGGAGGAAUACCGGUGGCGAAGGCGGCCCCCUGGGUGAAGACUGACGCUCAGGUGCGAAAGCGUGGGGAGCAAACAGGAUUAGAUACCCGGGUAGUC